This 400-nucleotide ribosomal RNA is filed under the name uncultured bacterium. RNAcentral describes it as "bacterial SSU rRNA". It matches the Rfam family "Bacterial small subunit ribosomal RNA", at positions 355 to 748 of the family's 1533-position model. The record is from RNAcentral.
UAGGGAAUCUUCCGCAAUGGACGCAAGUCUGACGGAGCAACGCCGCGUGAGUGAUGAAGGUUUUCGGAUCGUAAAGCUCUGUUGCCAGGGAAGAAGGCUCGGAAGAGGAAAUGCUUUCGAGAUGACGGUACCUGAGAAGAAAGCCCCGGCUAACUACGUGCCAGCAGCCGCGGUAAUACGUAGGGGGCAAGCGUUGUCCGGAAUUAUUGGGCGUAAAGCGCGCGCAGGCGGUUUCUUAAGUUUGGUGUAUAAGAUCGGGGCUCAACCUCGGGUGGCACUGAAAACUGGGAGACUAGAGUGCGGGAGAGGAAAGUGGAAUUCCACGUGUAGCGGUGAAAUGCGUAGAGAUGUGGAGGAACACCAGUGGCGAAGGCGACUUUCUGGACCGUAACUGACGCUG